RNAcentral lists this ribosomal RNA (728 nucleotides) under uncultured fungus. RNAcentral describes it as "SSU rRNA". It matches the Rfam family "Eukaryotic small subunit ribosomal RNA", at positions 832 to 1585 of the family's 1831-position model. The record is from RNAcentral. Lineage: Eukaryota; Fungi.
GGUUCUAUUUUGUUGGUUUCUAGGACCGCCGUAAUGAUUAAUAGGGACAGUCGGGGGCAUCAGUAUUCAAUUGUCAGAGGUGAAAUUCUUGGAUCUAUUGAAGACUAACUACUGCGAAAGCAUUUGCCAAGGAUGUUUUCAUUGAUAAGGAACGAAAGUUAGGGGAUCGAAGACGAUCAGAUACCGUCGUAGUCUUAACUAUAAACUAUGCCGACUAGGGAUCGGACGAUGUUAUUUCUUGACGCGUUCGGCACCUUUCGAGAAAUCAAAGUGCUUGGGCUCCAGGGGGAGUAUGGUCGCAAGGCUGAAACUUAAAGAAAUUGACGGAAGGGCACCACCAGGGGUGGAACCUGCGGCUUAAUUUGACUCAACACGGGGAAACUCACCAGGUCCAGACACAGUGAGGAUUGACAGAUUGAGAGCUCUUUCUUGAUUCUGUGGGUGGUGGUGCAUGGCCAUUCUUAGUUGGUGGAGUGAUUUGUCUGCUUAAUUGCGAUAACGAACGAGACCUUAACCUGCUAAAUAGCCCGUACUGUUUUGGCAGUUCGCCGGCUUCUUAGAGGGACUAUCGGCUCAAGCCGAUGGAAGUUUGAGGCAAUAACAGGUCUGUGAUGCCCUUAGAUGUCCUGGGCCGCGCGCGCGUUACACUGACAGGGCCAGCGAGUACCUCCUUGACCGAAAGGUCCGGGUAAUCUUGUUAAACCCUGUCGUGCUGGGGAUAGAGCAUU